AUCCAGCUGACGAGUUCCAAGUAGGACGAAACGUGUGUCCUGGAU
RNAcentral lists this non-coding RNA (45 nucleotides) under Schistosoma haematobium. The record is from RNAcentral. Lineage: Eukaryota; Metazoa; Platyhelminthes; Trematoda; Strigeidida; Schistosomatidae.